This is a non-coding RNA of Durio zibethinus, 1416 nucleotides long. NCBI's taxonomy places the organism in Eukaryota, Viridiplantae, Streptophyta, Magnoliopsida, Malvales, Malvaceae. The record is from RefSeq and is a predicted model, not a curated record.
GGAAGGUUCCAAGUCAACCUUAAAAAAAAAAAAAGGCAUUGGAAUCUUCGCAAUCAACCUAAAAAACAACGAAAUUUUGUAGAGAAAGACAGAAAGACGCAAAGCAAAGAUCUUACCUCUCUAACCCUUUUUUGAAACGUCAUGUCGGGGUAGCACCGCACGUAGCCGUCUCACAGAGGAACGAAAAGCCUGGCGCAAAAAUCCCCCCAUGGUCUUGAAUUUGAUGAUUUGGCACUGUGUUAUCCCCGGCAAAAAGGGGGGGGGGUCAGUCUCUACUUAAACUACAAAACAUAUCUUUUUUUUUUUUUUAUCAAGUUUGGACCUUUGAAGUUUUGGGUUACUGAAUUGUAGGUCUUUAUUUUACUUUUUCUUUGUUGGGUUUUGUUUUCUUAUGUUGUUUAUUUGUAAGUAUGCGAGUUGUAUAUACUGGAAUUUCUGUGCUACAAUAAGUUAUUAGAAUGUUCAGAUUUCGGAUCGAAGUUGUAAAUCUGUAUAAUCAGUUUCUGCCUUGUUUUCCCUUAAUUCUAAACAAAUUUUUACCCUUUUUCUACUUUGCUCGGUAGAACAGACAAUGGCGGGGGGCGGUCAGUCUCUACUUAAACUACAAAACAUAUCUUUUUUUUUUUAUCAAGUUUGGACCUUUGAAGUUUUGGGUUACUGAAUUGUAGGUCUUUAUUUUACUUUUUCUUUGUUGGGUUUUGUUUUCUUAUGUUGUUUAUUUGUAAGUAUGCGAGUUGUAUAUACUGGAAUUUCUGUGCUACAAUAAGUUAUUAGAAUGUUCAGAUUUCGGAUCGAAGUUGUAAAUCUGUAUAAUCAGUUUCUGCCUUGUUUUCCCUUAAUUCUAAACAAAUUUUUACCCUUUUUCUACUUUGCUCGGUAGAACAGACAAUGGCGUAGCUUGAGUUAGUAUCAUAUAUGUUUUGCAUUGGAAGGCUAGCAAAGGCAUUUAGUAGACAGUGGGGAACAACUUGAUUCUUCUAAAUCAACAACUUACUUUCAUUCAAUGAGAAUUUACAUAGUCGCCUGGAAGAAGUUAAAUAUGGUUUUUUCUUUAGUUCUUUAUAAUUUAGUAUCAAGUCCAGAUCUAUAAUCCAUAUGUCUAUUUCUUGAAACUAGGUUAUUAAGGAGGCAUGGUAGACCUUGGAGCUCGGUCAGGGUUCUUUGAAAAUAUGUUUGGAAACAAAACCGCUUAUCAAAUUGAUUUUGAGAAUUGUUUCUAGUAUUAUCAGUUGACAACUAUUGUGCAGCAUAGAUGAAGUGGUCUUUUCUCCAUUAAGUGCUUAGUUCAUUCAUUUUCUUUACCUGUAAUUUUCUUUCUUACUUUUCGAGGAAUACCCUAGCAAACCCCCUAUAUGCAAGUUUCCACAUGGCUUAUUCCAUUCUAAUGUCUAUCCUUCUGGAACUGUGUGUCUGUCU